CUUGGGAGAUUGUGGAAGCUUCUUCACUGGAGGUUUGCAAAAGGGGGCUGUAUAGCCAACUGCCUUGGAUGGUGUAGACACAAGAAAUCCUGCAUCUUGGCAGGGGGGUUGACUAGUCCCUUCCAACCCUGAUAUUCUAUGAU
Chelonia mydas (Green sea turtle) is the source of this 143-nucleotide long non-coding RNA. RefSeq lists it as uncharacterized. Lineage: Eukaryota; Metazoa; Chordata; Testudines; Cheloniidae. The transcript is spliced from 4 exons. The record is from RefSeq and is a predicted model, not a curated record.